This is a long non-coding RNA of Gasterosteus aculeatus aculeatus (three-spined stickleback), 1891 nucleotides long. The record is from Ensembl. NCBI's taxonomy places the organism in Eukaryota, Metazoa, Chordata, Actinopteri, Perciformes, Gasterosteidae.
UGACAGAAGAAGCCCGUGUCUUUAAUUUCUAUUUUUCUCAGUUUGUCUCAGGCACAAGUCUGUCGUCAGGUUCUCUCAUCCGGAGACCUGUAACAUAUAGUAUCACUGGUACUGUAGUGCUGUGCAUGGGCCUGCUGUGCUGCAUUUGUCUUCUCCAGAGAAGGCUGGAAGCAGAUGCCAGCCUGAAAAAUGUUUUAUAUUUUAUCUUACCUGUUGCCAGGAUGUUCUUGGUCCAGUCUUGUUUGUUCUGUAGGAAUAUGUUUGACACAGCUUAUAGAGAAUGUGGUGGCCACAGGAGACAGUUUUGAGAGGCGAGGCUGGGGCCAGGGGACCGCCCAUUCGCGUUCCCACAGAGACUCUGGGACGCAGCCAACAGGUUGCUGCAGCCGGAGGGCGCGGGAGGAGCGCCGGCGGUGGUGGAGAAGGUGGUGGUGGAAGAGCUACUGGAGAGUCUGCCGCCGCCGCCCCUCGCGGAGGACCACCUGGCUUUCACCCCGGCGGGCAGGGAGAGGGCGGUCGGCCAGCCACAUCACCACAGCCCGUCCCCGCGCCACAAAGGAUCCUGGGUGGUACACAUCAGGCGAUGGUGGAUUCGGGCUGCACGCAGUCCAUGAUUCACCAGAGGCUGGUUCAACCCCGGGGCAUUGGUGGAGGCAACCCAGUACGGGAGGUUCCCCAGGUCUCCACUGGAUUUUCUCCCUUCGAGCUGUUGUUUGGCAGGAAACCACGGGGGGUGCUCGACCUGCUUAAGGAACACUGGGAGGAGGGUCCGAGCCCCGGUAAGAACGAGAUUCAGUAGGUCCUGGACCUGCGAGCCAAACUCCACACACUGGGUGAGUUUUCACGUGAGAAUUUGCUCCAGGCCCAGGAGCGUCAACAAUGGCUGUACAACAGAGGGGCCAAGCUGAGACAAUUUACACCGGGAGAGAAGGUACUUGUAUUGCUUCCUUCUUCUAGCUCGAAAAUACUCGCCAAGUGGCAAGGGCCCUUUGUGGUUACACGGCGGGUAGGGGACGUCGACUAUGAGGUGGUGCGAUCUGACAGGGGCGGGGCUACACAGAUCUACCACCUCAACCUCCUCAAAGCAUGGAGGGAGGCGGAGUCCGUGUCCCUGGUGUCUGCAGUAGCGGAGAGAGAGGAGCUGGGCCCAGAGGUCCCAAAGUCCACCGAUCCGACCCGGCUCCCGUUCGACGCCCAUCUCUCGGCAGCCCAGCAAGCGGACAUAGCCCGGUUGCAAGACCGUUUUAAUGAUGUGUUCUCCUCCCUGCCAGGUCGCACGGAUCUCAUAGCACACAACUUUGAGACGUCCCCGGGCGUGACGGUGCGGUCACGGCCCUACAGAUUACCUGAACCCAAAAGGAAAAUUGUUCAGCGAGAAUUGGCCGCUAUGCUGGAGAUGGGGGUAAUAAAGGAGUCCAACAGUGCCUGGUGCAGCCCCAUCGUUCUUGUCGCCAAGAAGGACGGCUCGAUAAGGUUCUGCGUGGACUAUCGCAGGGUGAAUGCGGUGUCACGGUUUGAUGCCUACCCGAUGCCCCGGGUCGACGAACUCCUGGACCAAUUGGGCACCGCGCGUUUUUUUACGACACUGGAUUUUACCAAGGGCUACUGGCAGAUUCCCUUGUCACCAGAGUCCAGGGAAAAGUUGUCUUUCUCCUCUCCGUUUGGAUUAUACUAAUUCACCACGCUUCCCUUCGAGUUGUUCGGUGCCCCGGGCACCUUCCAGCGCCUCAUGGACCGGGUGCUGCGUCCGCAUGCGGCCUAUGCUGCUGCCUACCUGGAUGACGUCAUCAUACACAGCGCCACAUGGGCGGAGCAUGUGGAGCGGGUGGGCCAUGGUCGUGGCGUGGGGGAGUCGGUUCGCCCUGAUGGCUCCCCGGCCUGAGUCGGGGCG